RNAcentral lists this ribosomal RNA (370 nucleotides) under uncultured organism. RNAcentral describes it as "partial 16S ribosomal RNA". It matches the Rfam family "Bacterial small subunit ribosomal RNA", at positions 527 to 896 of the family's 1533-position model. The record is from RNAcentral.
GUAGGUGGCAAGCGUUGUCCGGAAUUAUUGGGCGUAAAGCGCGCGCAGGCGGUUCUUUAAGUCUGAUGUGAAAGCCCACGGCUCAACCGUGAGGUCAUUGGAAACUGGAGAACUUGAGUACAGAAGAGGAAAGCGGAAUUCCACGUGUAGCGGUGAAAUGCGUAGAGAUGUGGAGGAACACCAGUGGCGAAGGCGGCUUUCUGGUCUGUAACUGACGCUGAGGCGCGAAAGCGUGGGGAGCAAACAGGAUUAGAUACCCUGGUAGUCCACGCCGUAAACGAUGAGUGCUAAGUGUUAGGGGGUUUCCGCCCCUUAGCGCUGCAGCUAACGCAUUAAGCACUCCGCCUGGGGAGUACGGCCGCAAAGGCUG